Molecule: long non-coding RNA, 1309 nt
Organism: Patella vulgata (common limpet)
Lineage: Eukaryota; Metazoa; Mollusca; Gastropoda; Patellidae
Exons: 5
Source: RefSeq, a predicted model, not a curated record
UUCAGCCUUCACAUUAGUCACAAGACACAGUUAGUGACCUAGUUUUGUUUCUACCCGUCUUUACGGCCAAACUGUAUUUAUUACUACGUAGCAUACAUAAAGACGUUGCUCACUAAUAGUUGUUAUUUCAUAUCGCCUUGGAGGAUCUUUGCUACGACAACCAGACCCAUUGAAUUGCAUAAGGAAGAUCAUAUCAGCGUAGAAAAUGGCCACUCGGGGAUUUAUUAUUGUGACGGUAUUUGUAUUGAUUGCUAUGGCCCUGCAAAUUGUUGGAUUCUCUACAUCAUACUGGCAGUAUAACGAAGAUUAUGGUCAUACCGGUCUUUUUAAAUUCUGUUUACCCAACUUAGCUGAUAUUAAAGUCUGUGGUGAAUACACUUUAAGCGACAAAUCAGACUGGUUUAAAGCCGUUGUGAGUUUAGAAAGCAUUGCAAUUAUUUUACAAAUACUUUCUGCCCUAUUUUUACUGGCCUUCCAUUGUAAAAAUGAGUCCAAAGACUAUGCUAAAGCCUGUUUCUUCUUUUUGGUCAUGGCAGGUAUUUCUGGAAUUAUAGGCGCGGUUAUAUAUGGAUCGAAAGCUGAGCUUACAGACAAAAUUCCUUUACAUUGGUCAUUUGCUUUUGAAAUCGUGGGAAGUGGCAUAAGUUUCAUCGUAGGAUUGGCAGCUGCCCUUUCCCUUGUUCAACAGUCCGGUUACCUCCAACUGAGUUAAACAUGCGAGCUGUCGCCAUCUCUUUGAUAUUAAUUUUUUUCAAAGGCUAGAGCUUAUUCAUUUCAGACUAAUUGUGAAACUACUUGUCCAUAUGGAACCUAGUGUAACAUCUUCCUGUCUAAUUGCCGAAUAUAUCUCAGUUUAAUUAAAAUUAUUCUCACAUUUCGUUCCGUUUUAUUUUCUAGAUCAGAAACAGUCCGUCAAGUGCUAUUGUUCGUCUUCUUCUUUUUAAGAGCGACGCUUUUCGACAAAAGCCUAAGAUUCCUUGGUCAAAAUUGUGCGUCGAUUGACACAUUUGGGUCACAAUUCAAAGAUGGCGACGAUAAUGUCAUACUCGGUUCCGUUUAUAUACUAAUCGUUCUUGUCUUAAUCCUUUGCUCCACUUUAUCUUGGUCGUAACACUUUCGUAACAAGGCGUAGAGUGGUUAACAGAAUAAACGGAACGAAAAUAAUAAAAUCUAGUUUUAAUUAUAUUGAAUAUAUCUCUGUAAAUAAUAUAAAUGAUCCAUGUAUAUUGUAUAAUAUUUACUUGCUCUCUAUAUUUGUAUUGUCUUAUUAUUGUAUAUAUUAAAUAUUAAAAACAUUUUUUGUGUGAAA